Molecule: long non-coding RNA, 515 nt
Organism: Mauremys reevesii (Reeves's turtle)
Lineage: Eukaryota; Metazoa; Chordata; Testudines; Geoemydidae
Exons: 3
Source: RefSeq, a predicted model, not a curated record
CUGUGCAUCUUCAUUUCAGAUGUGCUUGCUCUGGGUAAAGAAGCUAGAGAGGGAAACCAAGGCAGGUCCCCACAUUGGAACCCAACAGCUCCAAGUGGGGGUGAGACCUAUGACAUAGCCCAUCAACAAAGACAGUGGCCAUGGAAAAGGUUUGUCCACAUCUGGGGACGCUUCAAACAGACUAUGGAUAGUGACUGCUAUGACUCAGCAAGGGCAGAGCGCUGGGAGGGGAAAUAUAAGGACGAUGACCAGGCACUCAGAUCCUGCCAUGAGGGGACCCACACAAAUAGCACAGAGAGGGAAGCACAGUAUUGGGCUUGAAAAUGCAGAUUUUGGUUUUGAAUACUAAGUGUUUGUCAUUGAACCCACAGCAACAAAUUACACAACUGAACAGACAGGAAAUGAUAUGGAGCAGGUAGUGAAGAAAGGGGCAGUGACUGCUGGAAAGAGGGUGUCACAAUCUGCCGACCCAGAAACAAGAUGCAGACGGCAGCACUGGAUGCAAAAAUCACGAG